UGGCUCAGGAUGAACGCUGGCGGCGUGCCUAAUACAUGCAAGUCGAACGCAUUGUGGUUGAAAUGAUAUGAAGAACUUGUUCAGAUUUGAUUUUCAACAUUGCAAUGAGUGGCGAACGGGUGAGUAACACGUGGGAAACCUACCUCUCAGCAGGGGAUAACAUUUGGAAACAAAUGCUAAUACCGUAUAAUAAUUAAAACCGCAUGGUUUUGAUUUAAAAGAUGGUCUUGCUAUCACUGAGAGAUGGUCCCGCGGUGCAUUAGUUAGUUGGUGAGGUAAUGGCUCACCAAGACAAUGAUGCAUAGCCGAGUUGAGAGACUGACCGGCCACAAUGGGACUGAGACACGGCCCAUACUCCUACGGGAGGCAGCAGUAGGGAAUCUUCCACAAUGGACGAAAGUCUGAUGGAGCAACGCCGCGUGUGUGAUGAAGGGUUUCGGCUCGUAAAGCACUGUUGUAAGAGAAGAAUGACAUUGAGAGUAACUGUUCAAUGUGUGACGGUAUCUUACCAGAAAGGAACGGCUAAAUACGUGCCAGCAGCCGCGGUAAUACGUAUGUUCCAAGCGUUUAUCCGGAUUUAUUGGGCGUAAAGCGAGCGCAGACGGUUAUUUAAGUCUGAAAGUGAAAGCCCUCGGCUCAACCGAGGAAUUGCUUUGGAAACUGGAUAACUUGAAUGCAGUAGAGGAAAGUGGAACUCCAUGUGUAGCGGUGAAAUGCGUAGAUAUAUGGGAGACACCAGUGGCGAAGGCGGCUUUCUGGACUGUAACUGACGUUGAGGCUCGAAAGUGUGGGUAGCAAACAGCAUUAGAUACCCUGGUAGUCCACACCGUAAACGAUGAGUGCUAGUUGUUCGAGGGUUUCCGCCCUUGAGUGACGAAGCUAACGCAUUAAGCACUCCGCCUGGGGAGUACGACCGCAAGGUUGAAACUCAAAGGAAUUGACGGGGACCCGCACAAGCGGUGGAGCAUGUGGUUUAAUUCGAAGCAACGCGAAGAACCUUACCAGGUCUUGACAUCCUUUGACCACUCCAGAGAUGGAGCUUUCCCUUCGGGGACAAAGUGACAGGUGGUGCAUGGUUGUCGUCAGCUCGUGUCGUGAGAUGUUGGGUUAAGUCCCGCAACGAGCGCAACCCUUAUUGUUAGUUGCCAGCAUUUAGUUGGGCACUCUAGCAAGACUGCCGGUGACAAACCGGAGGAAGGCGGGGAUGACGUCAAAUCAUCAUGCCCCUUAUGACCUGGGCUACACACGUGCUACAAUGGCAAGUACAACGAGUCGCCAACCCGCGAGGGUGCGCAAAUCUCUUAAAGCUUGUCUCAGUUCGGACUGUAGGCUGCAACUCGCCUACACGAAGUCGGAAUCGCUAGUAAUCGCGGAUCAGCACGCCGCGGUGAAUACGUUCCCGGGUCUUGUACACACCGCCCGUCACACCAUGAGAGUUUGUAACACCCAAAGUCGGUGAGGUAACCUUUUAGGA
This 1474-nucleotide ribosomal RNA is filed under the name uncultured Weissella sp. RNAcentral's name for it is "16S ribosomal RNA". It matches the Rfam family "Bacterial small subunit ribosomal RNA". The record is from RNAcentral. Lineage: Bacteria; Bacillati; Bacillota; Bacilli; Lactobacillales; Lactobacillaceae.